CACCGCGGUUAUACGAGAGACCCUAGUUGAUUGAAGCGGCGUAAAGAGUGGUUAUGGAGUUUUCCCCUUUAAAGCAGAAAACCUCUCAAACUGUUAUACGCACCCAGAGGUUGAAAUCCCUCACACGAAAGUGACUUUAUAUUCGCCUACCAGAACCCACGAAAGCUGGGACA
RNAcentral lists this ribosomal RNA (173 nucleotides) under Engraulis mordax (northern anchovy). RNAcentral's name for it is "partial 12S rRNA". The record is from RNAcentral. Lineage: Eukaryota; Metazoa; Chordata; Actinopteri; Clupeiformes; Engraulidae.